GUCCGCCUGGCCGGCCCGCUCCCCGUCUCCCCCCACGCUCCCCACCACCAGCGCUGAGACCGAGUCAUCCGGCGACGACGAGACCGCAUCUGAAUCCGGCGACUCCUCCCGCCCCGCGCGCGCCCGCCGCGACCUGAGGGGCCGGGCGAGUGGGGUGCGCAGUGGACGGAGUUCGUCUCGUGGGAGCCCAGGGCGUUCGUCUACCACAAGUUCCUGAUUUCUUAGCAAGAUCAGACAGACAAAAAGGAAGGUUCAGACAAGAUACAACAUGGGUGUCAAGGUGCGCAUAGGUGCAUUCACAAACAGAAUUCUGAAGCUUCAUGGCGUGCCCCACCAGACCACGUUGUCGACGAGUGCGUCCGUCACCACUCCCUCUGCCAUCAUGGCUCACAUUUUUUGUUCUACAACAGUUGAUGUAGCGUCUUUCAUUGAAUCUUCCACUGUUCAGAUUACCAACACGACUCUUAUGUAAUUAUUAUGGUGCUAAUUCUAUAGUUAUCAGGGUGCUAAUGAUAUAUUUAUCACACUUGCUUAUGGUAAAAUUACCAUGUUGAAUUUUUCAA
This is a long non-coding RNA of Triticum aestivum (bread wheat), 563 nucleotides long. RefSeq lists it as uncharacterized. The record is from RefSeq and is a predicted model, not a curated record. The transcript has 3 exons. NCBI's taxonomy places the organism in Eukaryota, Viridiplantae, Streptophyta, Magnoliopsida, Poales, Poaceae.